AUGAUAUGAGUCUUUGAAUAGUCUAUGACUACGUAGAGACGGAUCGUAAUCCAGCAAUACGAUCCAUGCUCAGUAAGAUAGAUUAUGCUCGAAAAUCAAUCAUAGAUCUAUUGACUUAAAGAAUGAAUACUAGAUUUAUAAUUAAAAAUAAAAAUUGAAAUCCCCAAAAUAUGCUUUUUUCUAUUACUUCGAAUUUUCUAUUUUCAAUCCUAGCUUAAUUAGUUAUAAGUAAAAUUCUUUAAAAUCUUAACUAACUCGAAUACAACUUAGCCCAC
RNAcentral lists this long non-coding RNA (275 nucleotides) under Elaeis guineensis (African oil palm). RNAcentral describes it as "long non-coding RNA (EGUI_LNC016833)". Lineage: Eukaryota; Viridiplantae; Streptophyta; Magnoliopsida; Arecales; Arecaceae. The record is from RNAcentral.